This 429-nucleotide ribosomal RNA is filed under the name uncultured bacterium. RNAcentral describes it as "bacterial SSU rRNA". It matches the Rfam family "Bacterial small subunit ribosomal RNA", at positions 355 to 799 of the family's 1533-position model. The record is from RNAcentral.
UGGGGAAUAUUGCGCAAUGGGGGAAACCCUGACGCAGCGACGCCGCGUGUGGGAUGAAGGUCUUCGGAUUGUAAACCACUGUCGCGAGGGACGAAGCUCUGACGGUACCUCGAAAGGAAGCACCGGCUAACUCUGUGCCAGCAGCCGCGGUAAUACAGAGGGUGCGAGCGUUGUCCGGAAUCACUGGGCGUAAAGGGCGCGUAGGCGGCCCGGUAAGUAGGGGGUGAAAUCUCAUGGCUCAACUGUGAGGCUGCCUUCUAGACUGCCAGGCUUGAGCACAGUAGAGGCGAGUGGAAUUCCCGGUGUAGCGGUGGAAUGCGUAGAGAUCGGGAAGAACAUCGGUGGCGAAGGCGGCUCGCUGGGCUGUUGCUGACGCUGAGGCGCGAAAGCGUGGGGAGCAAACAGGAUUAGAUACCCAAGUAGUCCCUG